Molecule: ribosomal RNA, 1346 nt
Filed under: uncultured bacterium
Lineage: Bacteria
Description: bacterial SSU rRNA
Rfam family: Bacterial small subunit ribosomal RNA
Source: RNAcentral
GACGAACGCUGGCGGCGUGCUUAACACAUGCAAGUCGAACGGAAAGGCCCUGCUUUUGUGGGGUGCUCGAGUGGCGAACGGGUGAGUAACACGUGAGUAACCUGCCCUUGACUUUGGGAUAACUUCAGGAAACUGGGGCUAAUACCGGAUAGGAGCUCCUGCUGCAUGGUGGGGGUUGGAAAGUUUCGGCGGUUGGGGAUGGACUCGCGGCUUAUCAGCUUGUUGGUGGGGUAGUGGCUUACCAAGGCUUUGACGGGUAGCCGGCCUGAGAGGGUGACCGGCCACAUUGGGACUGAGAUACGGCCCAGACUCCUACGGGAGGCAGCAGUGGGGAAUAUUGCACAAUGGGCGGAAGCCUGAUGCAGCAACGCCGCGUGCGGGAUGACGGCCUUCGGGUUGUAAACCGCUUUCGCCUGUGACGAAGCGUGAGUGACGGUAAUGGGUAAAGAAGCACCGGCUAACUACGUGCCAGCAGCCGCGGUGAUACGUAGGGUGCGAGCGUUGUCCGGAUUUAUUGGGCGUAAAGGGCUCGUAGGUGGUUGAUCGCGUCGGAAGUGUAAUCUUGGGGCUUAACCCUGAGCGUGCUUUCGAUACGGGUUGACUUGAGGAAGGUAGGGGAGAAUGGAAUUCCUGGUGGAGCGGUGGAAUGCGCAGAUAUCAGGAGGAACACCAGUGGCGAAGGCGGUUCUCUGGGCCUUUCCUGACGCUGAGGAGCGAAAGCGUGGGGAGCGAACAGGCUUAGAUACCCUGGUAGUCCACGCUGUAAACGGUGGGUACUAGGUGUGGGGUCCAUUCCACGGGUUCCGUGCCGUAGCUAACGCUUUAAGUACCCCGCCUGGGGAGUACGGCCGCAAGGCUAAAACUCAAAGGAAUUGACGGGGCCCCGCACAAGCGGCGGAGCAUGCGGAUUAAUUCGAUGCAACGCGUAGAACCUUACCUGGGUUUGACAUGGAUCGGGAGUGCUCAGAGAUGGGUGUGCCUCUUUUGGGGUCGGUUCACAGGUGGUGCAUGCCUGUCGUCAGCUCGUGUCGUGAGAUGUUGGGUUAAGUCCCGCAACGAGCGCAACCCUUGUUCACUGUUGCCAGCACGUUAUGGUGGGGACUCAGUGGAGACCGCCGGGGUCAACUCGGAGGAAGGUGGGGAUGACGUCAAGUCCUCAUGCCCCUUAUGUCCAGGGCUUCACGCAUGCUACAAUGGCUGGUACAGAGAGUGGCGAGCCUGUGAGGGUGAGCGAAUCUCGGAAAGCCGGUCUCAGUUCGGAUUGGGGUCAGCAACUCGACCUCAUGAAGUCGGAGUCGCUAGUAAUCGCAAAUCAGCAACGCUGCGGUGAAUACGUUCCCGGGGCC